CUGUCAUCUGCAGCAACAUAUCUUUCCACCAAACCAAUUAACUCAUCAGCUGUUUGUGGAUCGCUCUGACUGACCCAUCGACGCAAUGAAGCAGGCAAGCCCCGCAGGAAUCUGUCCAUCACAAGAAGUUCCAUGAUAUGGCUUGCCGUAUUUAUUUCUGGUUGUAACCACUUUCUAGCAAGAUGUAUCAGGUCAAACAUCUGGGAGCGGAUAGGUUUCUCUUGGUUGAAAG
Molecule: non-coding RNA, 232 nt
Organism: Pelobates cultripes (western spadefoot toad)
Lineage: Eukaryota; Metazoa; Chordata; Amphibia; Anura; Pelobatidae
Source: the annotation of a GenBank genome assembly